AUGCGUAUGUUGAGAUGGAUGUGUGGCCACACGAGGAAGGAUCGAGUCCGGAAUGAUGAUAUACGAGAUAGAGUUGGGGCAGCACCAAUUGAGGAGAAGCUUGUCCAACAUCGUUUGAGAUGGUUUGGGCAUAUUCAGCGCAGGCCUCCAGAAGCUCCAGUGCAUAGCGGACGGCUAAAGUGUGCGGAGAAUGUCAAGAGAGGGCGGGGUCGACCGAUUUUGACAUGGGAGGAGUCCGUUAAGAGAGACCUGAAGGAUUGGAGUAUCGACAAAGAGCUAGCUAUGGACAGGGGUGCGUGGAAGCUUGCUAUCCAUGUGCCAGAGCCAUGA
This 330-nucleotide ribosomal RNA is filed under the name Triticum aestivum (bread wheat). RNAcentral describes it as "partial small subunit ribosomal RNA". Lineage: Eukaryota; Viridiplantae; Streptophyta; Magnoliopsida; Poales; Poaceae. The record is from RNAcentral.